UCUUUGAAGAAAAGUAAACACUUUAAAAUCAAGAAAAG
RNAcentral lists this small RNA (38 nucleotides) under Plasmodium falciparum 3D7. RNAcentral describes it as "Pfa-npcR6710". Lineage: Eukaryota; Apicomplexa; Aconoidasida; Haemosporida; Plasmodiidae. The record is from RNAcentral.